UAUUGCACAAUGGGGGAAACCCUGAUGCAGCAACGCCGCGUGAGUGAAGAAGUAUUUCGGUAUGUAAAGCUCUAUCAGCAGGGAAGAAGAAAGACGGUACCUGACUAAGAAGCCCCGGCUAACUACGUGCCAGCAGCCGCGGUAAUACGUAGGGAGCAAGCGUUAUCCGGAAUUAUUGGGUGUAAAGGGUGCGUAGACGGGAUAACAAGUUGGUUGUGAAACCCCUCGGCUCAACUGAGGAACUGCAACCAAAACUAUUAUUCUUGAGUGCAGGAGAGGAAAGUGGAAUUCCUAGUGUAGCGGUGAAAUGCGUAGAUAUUAGGAAGAACACCGGUGGCGAAGGCGACUUUCUGGACUGUAACUGACGUUGAGGCACGAAAGCGUGGGUAUCGAACAGG
This 398-nucleotide ribosomal RNA is filed under the name uncultured bacterium. Its description in RNAcentral is "bacterial SSU rRNA". It matches the Rfam family "Bacterial small subunit ribosomal RNA", at positions 362 to 776 of the family's 1533-position model. The record is from RNAcentral.